CUACCUAUAAAUACCUCUCCAUGAAGAGCCUAAUCCACCAUAGCAAACCAUAUCCUAUGUCUCUUGAAAAACACACCAUGACGACGUCUUUACUAAACAAACCAUUCUUCUCCUUCUUUCUCCACAUCCUGUUUGUGCUCCUUCAUAUAUUCAACUCUUCUUCCUUCUUUGCUGUAGCUGAACACACUCCCUCCACAACUUCACCAUUUGGUUAUAAUACAGAAGCUGAGCCUCUUCUCGAGUGGAAAGCCAGUGUUGACAACCAAAGCCAAUCUCUCCUUUCUUCUCGGGUCGGCAUGAGCCCAUGCAUUAACUGGAUUGGAAUCACUUGUGACAAGUCUGGAAGCGUCACCGGUUUGAGCCUUGCAGACUUUGGCUUGAGAGUAGAGACGUCAUACCAACAAGGUGCCUAGGAAAUCCAAUACGCGGGAACCUACUUUUGCAAGGAAUCAUGUAGUUGCAUUCUAAAUCAUGAUGUAUUUUAUACGAAUCAAUGUACUGAAUGUAUAACUAUUAUGAGAUCCUUUAGAUUAAAUUUGUGAUGACUAUUUGAAGGAUAGAAUACAAACUCAUGCCUAUGCAUGUAUAUUUUAAAUGUGAACUUCUAAUCAUGCAAACAUAA
Molecule: long non-coding RNA, 622 nt
Organism: Populus euphratica (Euphrates poplar)
Lineage: Eukaryota; Viridiplantae; Streptophyta; Magnoliopsida; Malpighiales; Salicaceae
Exons: 2
Source: RefSeq, a predicted model, not a curated record